GAUGAACGCUGGCGGCGUGCCUAAUACAUGCAAGUCGAGCGAACAGACGAGGAGCUUGCUCCUCUGACGUUAGCGGCGGACGGGUGAGUAACACGUGGAUAACCUACCUAUAAGACUGGGAUAACUUCGGGAAACCGGAGCUAAUACCGGAUAAUAUAUUGAACCGCAUGGUUCAAUAGUGAAAGACGGUUUUGCUGUCACUUAUAGAUGUAUCCGCGCCGCAUUAGCUAGUUGGUAAGGUAACGGCCUACCAAGGCAACGAUGCAUAGCCGACCUGAGAGGGUGGACGGCCACAGUGGGACUGAGACACGGUCCAGACUCCUACGGGAGGCAGCAGUAGGGAAUCUUCCGCAAUGGGCGAAAGCCUGACGGAGCAACGCCGCGUGAGUGAUGAAGGUCUUCGGAUCGUAAAACUCUGUUAUUAGGGAAGAACAAAUGUGUAAGUAACUAUGCACGUCUUGACGGUACCUAAUCAGAAAGCCACGGCUAACUACGUG
RNAcentral lists this ribosomal RNA (497 nucleotides) under uncultured bacterium. RNAcentral's name for it is "partial 16S ribosomal RNA". It matches the Rfam family "Bacterial small subunit ribosomal RNA", at positions 28 to 507 of the family's 1533-position model. The record is from RNAcentral.